Equus asinus (donkey) is the source of this 2038-nucleotide long non-coding RNA. Lineage: Eukaryota; Metazoa; Chordata; Mammalia; Perissodactyla; Equidae. The record is from Ensembl.
AUAAUUAAUAAGACAGCUCAGCUGAAAUGGCGAGGAGACGGGGCCCUAUUGAUCUGGCAGUCGAGCUGCUUCCACCUCUCCUAUUUAUAGGCUCCGCAUGGCCUCACGGAGGAGUAAACAUUCGAGAGUAAACACGAGCGGAAGAGGCCGGGGUCCAAGCUGCAGAACUGGAGCCGGCUGGGGAGGGAGAACCGAACGAGAGGAACAGCAUCUCCUAGGGGCCCUUCCUUGAGGUUGGGGCCGGAGCAGCCCCGAAACCGAACGCCCGAAUAAGGAAACCGUGCCAGCCCCGCCCAUCCCGGCUUCGACAAUCUCCCCACUCCAGCCCCACCGGGCGAGCAGGAAUGUAACAUUCCUGUCCAGAUUCUUGCCCUGGAAGGACAUCCCCUUUAGAGUGAGCACUCAGGAGCCAGAAGACCUCCAUUACCAGCUGCGUAACCAUGGUAGGUAGCCUGGCUGCUCUCUGGAAGGUGCCUUUCCGGCACCUGCAUUGGUUCUCGGGGCCAAGAUCGCUACCACAGCGCCCCGCCCUCCCGACUGGCGGGGAAGGGCGGGCUAGACUUUGGAUCUCCCUCUGCCGGGCAGCGGCAAGGACAGCGCAAGCAGCGACUUUUAUGCAAAGUCAGGUGUAAUUAGUUCUGGAAAACCUUGACUCUCGCUCCUUAAUCUAAUCCACACGCCUGGGGGAGCCAGGGCCUGGGUGCUGCGGGGGCGCUGAGUGAGUGACCGUGGGCGAGCGGAGAUGGGGCUCCGUUACCAGUCCCCCCGACCGCCACCACCGCCACCGCCACUUCCAUCCGGGAGCUCCCUGCAGCCACAAUGGCUCUGCUCCUGAGUCAGUACCAAGGCGACGACCCCCUGGCCUGAGAAGGAAGGAAGGAGGCAGCAAAGGAAAAGAAAAUCGCACCUUGAUGGAAGGGCAGCGAAGGUGACAGCUGAGCUUUUGUUUUCCCUGCCCAGGGAGACCAAGAGGCUUCCACAGGCGGCACCAACUCAGGGAGCCAGGAGGAGGACGGAACCAUCUGUGCGGGACUCGGUGCACAGAGAUUGAUUAUACUACUCUCUCCCUUCUUUCUCCCCCUCCCCCUCUUUGCUCUGCCUAACUUUUUAAAAAGUUAACUUACCUUUAUUGAGCGCUUACUACAUGCUAGACAUCAUACUAAAGCUUCUGAACAUCAUCUCAUUUCCUGCGCUCAUUUCUGUAGAUUGUAUUAUCCUCAUUACAGAUGAGAAAAGGUGUAGAGAGAGGAUAGAAACCUGCCCCUAGCAGCAGGUGGUAAGAGGCCCAGCUGAAAUGUGAGCACGAAUCUGUUUUAAGACUUCACUUUGCUUGUUCUGUUACUAUUUGGAGCCAAAAGAGAGACAGCACAAGUUAAAAAAGACAACAAAGAAACUCAGGUCCUAUGGUGGGCAGAAUAAUGGCCUCACAAGAUGUCAUGUUCUAACCCCCGGAAACUGCAAAUAUGUCAGUUAUAGGGCAAAAGGGAGUUAAGGCUGCAGGUGGAAUUAGGAUGCUAAUGGGCUGACUGUAAAAUAAGAUUAUUCUGGAUCACCCCUGAGGGCCCAGUGUAAUGACAAGAGUCCUUAGAAGUGGAAGAGGGAGGCAGAAGAGAGAGGUCCGAGUCAGGGGAUGUGAGAAGGGCUGGACCCACUUCUUUGGCUUUGAAGAUGGAGCAAAGAGUCCACAAGCCAAGGAAUUCAGGCAGCCUCUAGAAACUGGUAAAGGCGAGGAAACCAGAUUCUUCCCUGGAGCCUUCAGAAAGGAACGGCCCAGCCAUUUCAGCCCAGUGAAGCUCGUGUCAGACUUCUGACCUACAGCACUAACUCGAAGAUAAGAAAUUUGCAUUGUUUAAGCCACCAAGUUUGUAGCAACUUGUUACAGUUGCAAAUAGAAAAAUAAUACAAACCCUUAUUAUGGCUGAGGGCUACAUUACAGAUACUCAGAGAGCCAGGAUCUUCAGGAAGUUUGUUGAGUCUGCUCAGGGCCCUUCUUUGAGUGUCGUGUCGUGUGUGUGUGUGUGUGUGUGUGUGUGUGUGU